Molecule: ribosomal RNA, 731 nt
Filed under: Streptomyces sp.
Lineage: Bacteria; Bacillati; Actinomycetota; Actinomycetes; Kitasatosporales; Streptomycetaceae
Description: bacterial SSU rRNA
Rfam family: Bacterial small subunit ribosomal RNA
Source: RNAcentral
UGGCGACGGGUGAGUAACACGUGGGCAAUCUGCCCUUCACUCUGGGACAAGCCCUGGAAACGGGGUCUAAUACCGGAUAAUACUUUCUCCCUCCUGGGAGAAGGUUGAAAGCUCCGGCGGUGAAGGAUGAGCCCGCGGCCUAUCAGCUAGUUGGUGGGGUAAUGGCCUACCAAGGCGACGACGGGUAGCCGGCCUGAGAGGGCGACCGGCCACACUGGGACUGAGACACGGCCCAGACUCCUACGGGAGGCAGCAGUGGGGAAUAUUGCACAAUGGGCGAAAGCCUGAUGCAGCGACGCCGCGUGAGGGAUGACGGCCUUCGGGUUGUAAACCUCUUUCAGCAGGGAAGAAGCGAAAGUGACGGUACCUGCAGAAGAAGCGCCGGCUAACUACGUGCCAGCAGCCGCGGUAAUACGUAGGGCGCAAGCGUUGUCCGGAAUUAUUGGGCGUAAAGAGCUCGUAGGCGGCUUGUCACGUCGGUUGUGAAAGCCCGGGGCUUAACCCCGGGUCUGCAGUCGAUACGGGCAGGCUAGAGUGUGGUAGGGGAGAUCGGAAUUCCUGGUGUAGCGGUGAAAUGCGCAGAUAUCAGGAGGAACACCGGUGGCGAAGGCGGAUCUCUGGGCCAUUACUGACGCUGAGGAGCGAAAGCGUGGGGAGCGAACAGGAUUAGAUACCCUGGUAGUCCACGCCGUAAACGUUGGGAACUAGGUGUUGGCGACAUUCCACGUCGU